Long non-coding RNA from Triplophysa dalaica, 687 nucleotides. RefSeq lists it as uncharacterized. The record is from RefSeq and is a predicted model, not a curated record. The transcript is spliced from 3 exons. Lineage: Eukaryota; Metazoa; Chordata; Actinopteri; Cypriniformes; Nemacheilidae.
UUGAUUUCUGUUUAUUUUGUGUAAUUUGCAAGAUCUUUUGUUAACAUGAUUUUGGGUGACAUUUUUGACAAUCUCCGUCGUGAAGUUGACGUUAUUUUGGUGCUCCUCUUUAGUUCUUAUGAGCACUUGGGAGAGGAGGUGUACAAGGUUUAUGUCAUGCCUGAUGGUGACAUUUGAUCUUUGAUAUAUCGCAGACCACUUGGGAAAUAAACCUCCUUGAGAUCUCCAGAGCUGUUGGUUGUCCGGUCUUUUCUAUUACACACAACGCAUGUCUCUAUAACUUCAGUCGAUUUGGAAAAACAACAAUGGGUGGUUACAGCAUCAUCCACUUCAAACAAUUAUCAACAAAUAUUUUUGGAAUCUUCAUGUGUCAACUCAGCCAUAAAAAAAUAAUAUUCCAACGGAGAUGCAGAUGUGGAGGUGGAUGGUGGGGACAGACUUUGUCACCCUACAGGAUGUUCUUGUUUGCUUUAGGGGCAUCUGCCAUACUUGUAUUUGGAUUCAAAGAGAAUCCAAAUAUAACAUUUCUCCAUGAGAACAUCGAUGGCAACCAGCGGGUUUUCCCUGAAGCAAAUACAUGCAGCAUGACUUUGAAGUUGCCCAUUGGACAAGAAUAUGACGAGUUUUGUCAUUUUAUGACAGCUGCUCUUUUACUAUCUCCAACGUUUGGGUUAGCAUAAAAGCAUG